CCUGGCGGCACUAGCGCGGUGGUCCCACCUGACCCCAUGCCGAACUCAGAAGUGAAACGCCGUAGCGCCGAUGGUAGUGUGGGGUCUCCCCAUGCGAGAGUAGGGAACUCCAAAC
RNAcentral lists this ribosomal RNA (115 nucleotides) under Salmonella enterica subsp. enterica serovar Amager. The record is from RNAcentral. Lineage: Bacteria; Pseudomonadati; Pseudomonadota; Gammaproteobacteria; Enterobacterales; Enterobacteriaceae.